Molecule: long non-coding RNA, 1379 nt
Organism: Mus musculus (house mouse)
Lineage: Eukaryota; Metazoa; Chordata; Mammalia; Rodentia; Muridae
Product: predicted gene, 31024
Exons: 2
Source: RefSeq, a predicted model, not a curated record
CCGGUCUCCAGAAGAAGCGUCCUAAUAGCCAGAACUUACAGCCUUCCGUGCAACUGAAAGAUCAUUUGCACUAACCGCUGACUUUUUGUUGGGUUACCAGGGGAAAUGGUUUCCCUCUGGCCUUGGUGAAGUGGCUGCCAAGGAUUAUAGAGGCUUCUGAUGGCAAAAAGUCCAUGUUAAACUCUUGGGGAUAGUCAGGGCCAGGAUAGUGCCUCCUAGAGCAGGAGUUGUCUUUUAGCAUUAAGUGGUGGUCCAUGCAGUAUAGCUUCCUGGAGGUGUCUGUGGAGCAUUCAAGAGCUGCCAGGCUGCCAUGACAGUAGACCAGCUGGCUGCCAAGAGGGGUUUGCUUGGAUGGUAGUCAUUCAAGGCAGCCAAGUGCCAGGGAAGGGCUGGAUGGUUGCCAGGGUGACAAAUCACCCUAGCAUCCAGCACUGGUUUUUGUUUUGUUUUAGACAAAAUAAGCAUUAAAGGGGAUUCUUACAAGCCUGUAAGACACUGAAAUGUUUUAGUGCUUACACAUUGUGUGUGUAUGUGUUCACGAGUGUGUGUGUGCCCACACACAUGCAGGUAUGCAGAGAAUGGAGGAGGAUGUACGGUGUUCUGCUCUAUCACCCUCUCUCUUAUUCUCUUGAUUUAGGAUCCUCACUGAACCCGGAGCUAGGCUGGUGGCCAGAAAGUCCCCUGUCUCACCACUACCACCCCAGCCCUGGUGUUACAGACACACAGGGUUUCUCUGUGUAUCCCUGGCUGUCCUGGAACUCACUCUGUAGACCAGGCUGGCCCCAAACUCAGAAAUCCGCCUGCCUCUGCCUCUCAAGUGCUGAGAUAAAAGGCGUGCACCACCACUGCCUGGCUAUUUUUAUUAUUAUUAUUAUUUAUUUAAAAAGUUCAAUAAGGUCUGAACUUGGCAAGUACUAUGUAAGAGUCAGCUAGGAAGUACUAGUUGUGAAGGUAUGAGAGGGGUCGUGGAGAGCAGCUGAGAUUUGGUAACAUAUGGCGGUGUUAGAGUCCCUGUGGAGAGGUCACUCGUGAAGGUGUGGCCUCAAUUACAAAGGAGGUCCCAGGUUACUGCAGAUGCCAAGACUGCUGAAUGUCCACCAAGAACAGCGGCAGGUGUGAUGUGGAACCAGGUUAAACCUGAGACAAGCUGUGUGCUGAGGACUGCAGAGUUGGAGAAGCUGGACUACCCAGGCUUUUGGGUGCUGGUGGGACUGAUAUAGGGCUGAGCCCUGCACUAGUGCUUGGAAUUUUUAAAGAAACCUUGGACUUUUAGACUGCUGAAAAAAUUUAAAGACUUAAAUGUUUGACUGUGUUUUAAAUUAUGACAUUCACACAAGACUUUGGGGGACAAGGAAUUAAAUGGUUAUGCUUAAGGUGAA